Nothobranchius furzeri (turquoise killifish) is the source of this 887-nucleotide non-coding RNA. Lineage: Eukaryota; Metazoa; Chordata; Actinopteri; Cyprinodontiformes; Nothobranchiidae. The record is from RefSeq and is a predicted model, not a curated record.
GAAACAACUAAUCGAUUUAAUCGAUUAUAAUCGAUUAUUAAAAUAGUUAACAACUUUUUUAGUCAUCGAUUAGUUGUUUAAUAAUCAUAUUUUACCGCAUAAAGUCUAUUUUUUACCACAAUCUGACAUCGGUUACAAUCUGUUAAAUUCGCCGCCAGUGUGUGGCAGUAAUGAGCCACUGAUCUACCAGUGGAGCCGUAGAAGAAGAAAUGAGCCAAUAAGUGCCCUCGGUUUUCAUGACGUAUCACGUUACUGACGCUCAUCUUGCUGUGAGAGAUGGCGGAUCAACAAGAAAUACGGAAGAAAAAUAGAAGCAACAAAACAAGAGAAACCCCGGACAAAAAACCUCACGAGUAUGGGAGCACUUCACUAGAUGCCUUGAAAAGACUGGUGACCUGCAAAAUAUGCAAAAACCAUGGCACGACGGAAGCACGACGUCCCUAAGUGAACAUUUGAGACGAAAACGUGGGGGCUGAUGCAGCAGAGGAAUGUCCGAAAAAAACAAGCAACGAUGGACAACUACAUGGGGAACAAGACACUCACCCCCAGCAAUGCAUACCACUUACAAACUCUAUUCCAGAUUCUACAUUAUUUUUUAUGGAAUUUAGCUCUUAUAUUUUGAUGCCAAAAAAUUAUUCUGGACUGAUAUUUUGCACUGUUUAGCUCAUUUUACACCGCUGACUGUGUUCAUGUGCAAUAAAAUAGAUUGCAGUCAACUGCACAAUUCUCUUAUGUUUUUCUUUUUCUUAACUGAAAUGUAUUCAUCACUUGUAUAGGUUAAAUAGCUAAACAAUAACAAACCGAUUAAUCGAUUAAUCGAAAAAAUAAUCGACAGAUUAAUCGAUUAUGAAAAUAAUCGUUAGUUGCAGCCCUACUGGAAAUGAUAG